This is a long non-coding RNA of Populus euphratica (Euphrates poplar), 294 nucleotides long. RefSeq lists it as uncharacterized. The transcript is spliced from 2 exons. The record is from RefSeq and is a predicted model, not a curated record. Lineage: Eukaryota; Viridiplantae; Streptophyta; Magnoliopsida; Malpighiales; Salicaceae.
AUAAAAUUUAAGACCAACCAUUAUAUGUUAAACACAAGAGUGAUAUACAAUAAAUGAAUAUGGCUUUCCAAGAUAUAAUUUCUCCAAUCAAGUAAUGUUGGUCUGCGAUAAAAGUUUCACCACUAAACCAAAGUUCCUAUUUUUCUUCCCUACUAUUCCAGCUUGAUGCAUCUAAUCUUGCUUUAUCUCCCUUGCUAAGAGACACAGGAACAGGAACACAUCCAACAAGUUAAACAAAUUCUAUUGAUCUACUAUCCACCCCUUAAAGAUAUACAAAAAAAAGAAGAAGCUAUC